Molecule: ribosomal RNA, 460 nt
Filed under: uncultured bacterium
Lineage: Bacteria
Description: partial 16S ribosomal RNA
Rfam family: Bacterial small subunit ribosomal RNA
Source: RNAcentral
CCUACGGGUGGCUGCAGUGAGGAAUAUUGGUCAAUGGGCGAAAGCCUGAACCAGCAAAGUCGCGUGAAGGAUGAAGGAUCUAUGGUUUUUAAACUUCUUUUUUAUGGAAGUAAAGUUGGGAGCGUGUUCCUUUUUGUAUGUACCAUAUCAAUCAGCAUCGGCAAACUCCGUGCCAGCAGCCGCGGUAAUACGGAGGAGGCGAGCGUUAUCCGGAUUUAUUGGGUUGAAAGGGAGCGUAGGUGGUACAUUAAGUCAGCGGUGAAAGUUUGUGGCUCAACCAUAAUAUUGCAGUGGAAACUGGGUGACUUGAGUAUAGGUGAGGCAAGCGGAAUGCGUGGUGUAGCGGUGAAAUGCAUAGAUAUAAGGAAGAACACCGGUGGCGAAGGCAGCUUACUAGACUAUAACUGACACUGAGGUACGAAAGCGUGGGGAGCAAACAGGAUUAGAUACCCGUGUAGUC